RNAcentral lists this unclassified non-coding RNA (900 nucleotides) under Hevea brasiliensis (rubber tree). The record is from RNAcentral. Lineage: Eukaryota; Viridiplantae; Streptophyta; Magnoliopsida; Malpighiales; Euphorbiaceae.
AACUGAAAAAACAAAAAAGAAGAAAAGGAUAGGCCCUGCUACUAUCCCACAACGAAACAUCAUAAAACCUUUAUCCUGAUUAUAGUGUUAAGCAGUUCAAAUUCUCCUAAAAAGUAAUACCUACAUUUAUCUAAGCGAUUUCAUUUUAAACCUGCAAACAAGCUUCACAAUGGCUGUCCUCUAGUUGAUUUACAUACCUUAUGCAUUCAUGCAUUGUCAAUUUCAACAAGUUCUGUCGAAGCUACCGGUCCUGCAAAAGUAGCUCCAAAAAAAAACAAAUCUUUGCAUUGAAAUAUCACAAGCUGAACUAGGCUCAAUAAAACCUUAACAAUCUUGGAUAGAGCAAUUUGAGAUGUAAUGCCAACAAAGCCAAUCCAUUGCAGAAAAUCACCAAAUGCCUGUAUGCAUACUUCCGAAAGAAAACUGUUGUAAAAUAUUCAUUGUUGAUAGCCACAUAAAGAAGGCCAAGAAAAUGCAAAUGAAUAUCACUGAAACAAACAAAAUUAAGUCUCACAAAAUUACAUAAACUUGCUUAAGUUGUUAGUUGUUUUUGCUACCAAUCAAGUGAUGAAGAAGCACACCUGCUGCAACACUUACAUUCAAGCUCUCCACAGCCAUAAAGGAUCUAAAGUUCUGACCUAAAAUACUAUUAUCACUCUCAGCAUCCUCAUCUUCUGCAGCGAUUAUAUCCAAAGGGAUAUUUCCCGGAAUUCCAACUAAUUCAGUACAUGACCUCUCCACCAAUGGUCUCAGACCAGUCCCUUCACUUCCCAAAACAAGGAUUGUAGGAGCACCAGGCACAAUCUUAUGCAAUGGAACAGCUCUUGAAGAAACAGAACCACCUAGGACACGCCAUCCAUUUUCUGCCGAAGACGUUAGGAACUGCAUCAUAUUCUUGCA